Molecule: long non-coding RNA, 3287 nt
Organism: Triticum aestivum (bread wheat)
Lineage: Eukaryota; Viridiplantae; Streptophyta; Magnoliopsida; Poales; Poaceae
Exons: 3
Source: RefSeq, a predicted model, not a curated record
AUGACAGCCCCGGAACCCAUGCAAAGGUGAUAGCAGCCUCGCGAAGAUAGGAGUUAUCCUGGUCAGCUGUUCCUGUGGGAAAUGGAGUCCCAUAGACGCAGAUGAACCACAAACUGCUUCCGCCAUCAGCCACUAGAAACCAUUUGUUGUACUCAUAGGCCACAAUGGUCUUGUACUACAUAUUAUGUACAUUGCUUGGAAUUUUCUGUAUCAAGUUGGUGCCUCAUCAGCUAACAGAAAUCCUGGGGCUGGUGAGCACAAGGAUCAUUUUCUGGAAAAAUAUAUCCCGAAAACCCGGUCCUGACAAUGGACGUAUGGAUUCAAUGGUUCGAGGAUGUAAAUCUACCUGAUAUAUUGUUCAUGGGGAUUGAGUAUGGUAGUGAUAUCUGAGAAUUUUAAUGAUCUACUCUGUAUCUGCUAGCAGGUACUGUACUCACCAAAAAAAAUUGUGUGUGCUUCAGCUCAUUCAAUUGCAUGUUAAUUUCCUAACAAACCUCCUGCUGCAGCAGUUUUCUUUGUACAAUACUUGCAAAUUACCGAUUUUUCUGAAAUCUUAUUCCUUUUGUGGUUAAUUUGUAGUGUUGUCGUGUUCCUGUACAAGAACAUGGGCUUGCUUAACGAGUGCACUAAGAUUGCUCAUGAACUACAGCUCAGGCUUAUAAUAUGCAUCAUAAGGAAUCUUCGAUAGUUUCUACAAAAAUAAUCAUGGGUCUGAUGUUUACAUUAUAGAGGGUUGUCGUACAACGUCAAAUACUAUGGAUCUAUGUAGGGUAACUGAUUAAUUCCAUAGUGAAUAAUCAACCAAGAAAUAGGUUGUAGUGCUGAUUCGUUCACUCUUUGGAUUUACUAUCGUACCUACAUUUGUAUGAUUCCUUUUAGCUGAUGUUGUCUGCUCAUACUGACAAAAGGUGCGUUGAAAAAUGAUUGUAGGGCAGUAGAGAAAAAUGUUUCUAUGAACGUGCCAAUAUUGAUUGAUUUAACUACAUGCAUUGCAUUGUUUAAUCUACGGCGUACUGUUCUUUCUAAUGAACUAUUUGCUGCAAUUUGUAUGUUCUGCAGCUUCCAUGGUCAAGUUCUCCCUUUCUUUAGGCUAGCCAGAGGUCUUAACUAUUGAAGUUUGUAUGUUCUGCAGUGUCAAGUCCUCCCUUUGUUCAGUCUGGGAGGUCUUAGCUCUUUCAAUUUGUAUGUUCUACAACAUCCAUGAUUAUAUCCCCCCUUUCUUCAUGCUGGGCAGAAGUUUUAAUUGCAUGUACCUAUGUGCCAAUGCGCCUAUAAGCCUUGGUAAAAUAUGUCCAAAUCUAACAAAUAUUGUAGUUUAACCUCAUCAUAAUAAUUGACAAAAACAAUUGUGACCUUCAAGGGACACUUAUUACUACAGUUUUGUUAUGAUCUUUGUUUAGGAAUGGGAAAAGGCCUACAUAUUAAAGACUCAGGUCAAAGGCGGGUCUGUUGUGUUUCUAUGAUUACGGAUUUCUAAAAUACAUUGACCUAAUAAUGGAACUAUGUAGUGCAAUCUUCUAUAGUUUACUACAGCUUAACAGCCUCUUUCCCUGUACAAAUGGUGCGAGUCUAUUAGAGAUCUCCACUUAGUGCAAAAGGCUGGUGACUAAUUUUCUUUUGCAUUGCAUACUUUUGAAUAACAUAGUGGCUAUUUUAUAUCCCUUUUUUUCUAAAUAUGGACCCCCCUGAAUCCUAUAUGACAAGAAAGUCAUGUAUUUUUGCAAGAAAGUUCAUGUAGAAAAUGAACCGAUAUUAUGUCUUCUAUAUUAAAAUCUAACAUAUGGUAGUGCCCUAAAGGAGUACGAUUGGUAGCCAACUAACUUAUAUAACAUGCACAUAUUACUCUGUUUUUCUAAUGAGUGUAUGUGGAUGCAAACAAAUAGUUGAGGAGCAAUUGCUAUUCUCUAUUUCUUUAGUGAGUAUAUGUGGAUGCGUAGAAACGAUUCUCUAUUUUUUUCACGGAUAUAUGUUGAUGCAUGGAAAAAUGUAUAUGGUGUGUUUCAUUUCUGCUCAUCCUGAUCUAACUAAGCUGACCCGGUGGAUUUGAGAUUGCCGUGCCUGUCAGGUUUGGACAUGUCCUUAUUUGUACUUAAUCACUAAACUAAACUGUAUAAAUAAAAUAGUCCCCCCUCCUUUCCAACAACUUAUUUAUUAUUAGAGUGAGCAACGACAUGUUAUCAUACUCAGUUUCUUGUGAGUAGUGCUUUAGUUUAGAUUGACAUAUACUCUUUGGUAGCAUUUUUGCCUACCUCUUGCCUAUUUUCAUAGAUAGAUGGUUUGCUUUGGAGAGGGAUUAGAUAAGGCAUGUGAGUCCUAAGUCAGCGUGAUAAGCAACUCCUGCACUUCUAUAUACUAUUAAGUGCCAACUGAAUUUCUGAUAACAAUGUUUCAGGGAUGAUACAGUCAAUCCAACUAUUACCUUUGGUGUACUUUCUGGAUGGACUAAUCUGAAGAUGCUGGCUAGCUUGCACCACCAUCAUAUAGUCUAGAAGCAAGGGCAAGGAUUAUAGGGAAAAUAAAGGCAAUUCGUCACCCGGAGGAAAUGCCAACUAAUGCAUUUUUGUACUUCCUUUGUUAUAGAGGUAAAAUUAAAACUACUUUUCGGAAGCUUUUUUUGUUGCAUGUAGCCCUUUCUUAAUCUUCGAUUUGUUCAAAUGUACAUAACCGAGCUUAUAUUAUAAUCCUUAUUACACAAUGAAUCUCACCAUUCUAUCGUUUUCCUGAAAAUUUGUACUCACGUAGUUCCUUUUUUCAUAUGGGUGAUCUUUUGUUGCCCUGAUUUGGUGUGCAUAUAGGGACAUUAUAGGCUUAUUUUGUUUCCUCUUCGUUCAUGCACUAAUACAUAAAUAUUUUGGUUAUGCCCUUAUUAUUUGGUCUAGAGCUAUGCAAUGACAACCAUGGCUUUGUAUUCAAGUGAGUGCCAUUUAUAGACUGAAGAAUCCUUGGCAGCUUAUCUAAAUUCUUUCAUCCUAGAUAUUAUGUAUGCCCAGUUAAGUACCUUAUACAAGUACCUUAAUUAUAAUUAGCCUCUUCUGACUAUUAAUUAUUUGAAUUGUUCUAUUAGGACUCAGACUUUUAAAGUUAUUAGGAUCUGGACAUGUUUUUACUUUAGUUUGUACAGUUUUGUGUUCUUUUGGCUUCAGGCUGCUGUUGCAUAUAAAGUACAAUAAACUCAGAUGAUGCAUGAAAAAAACUGCAGACCUAGCAUAGUUUUUGUAUUCAGAUUUUGUAACUAAUUAUGUGAUGCCUUUAUGUUAAAAUACUUAUUUGUUCUCCAACUAGGCCAA